UUCUCAGUAAUAUCAUCUUUAAUCAACGGAGUAAUGUAAUGCAAGCUUUCUUUCAUCGAAAUUGCAUUUUUAAACAUUUUCAGAGCAGGCUAGAGUAUGAGAUAUCAUUUGUUCUUUUAUUUCAAAGCGCUUAUUUUACAAACUUCAAUAGAAAACAGAGUCGCUUUUAGGGCUAAGCAGAGAUACAGGGCCAGAGCUCUGAAGGAAACCAUCUACUUCAACAUGAAUUGUGUCCCCCAAAUGGCACCAUACUUAUUCCCCAUGUAGUGCACUACUUUUGACCUGAACCCUAUGGGCCCUGAGCUCUAUGGGCCCUGAGCUCUAUGGGCCCUAACCCCUAUGGGCCCUAACCCCUAUGGCCCUAAGCUCUAUGGGCCCUGAGCUCUAUGGGCCCUGAGCUCUAUGGGCCCUGAGCUCUAUGGGCCCUGAGCUCUAUGGGCCCUGAGUUCUAUGGGCCCUGAGCUCUAUGGGCCCUGAGCUCUAUGGGCCCUGAGCUCUAUGGGCCCUGAGUUCUAUGGGCCCUGACUCUAUGGGCCCUGAGUUCUAUGGGCCCUGAGCUCUAUGGGCCCUGAGUUCUAUGGGCCCUGAGUUCUUUGGGCCCUGAGCUCUAUGGGCCCUGAGUUCUAUGGGCCCUGGUCAAAAGUAGUGCACUAUACAGUAUGAGGAGUAGGAUGCCAUUUGACAAACAGUUCACUAAAACCACAACAACACAUUCGACAAACACCCUGGACCCGCUCUUCAAUCCCGUUUCAAGUCAUUUUUCUUUUCACUUGUUGUCGUUGUUAAGAUGUGAAUGGAUUUUAGUGAUGGAUACAGUAGUGUAAUGUAUUGUAAAGUAACCUUUUUUUUAUUUUUUAUGCAUAUUAAAAAGUACAGCACUCAAAAGUUCACAAAGCCUUAGGAUAGUCAGUCUGCGUCAGUCAAUAGUUCCUGACUUAAAUAUGACAUUGUUAUAUCAGAAUAUCACUGAGUAGGGUAGAAAAAGGGAGGAUCCAUAAUACCAUACUUAAUAUGGGAUGAAGAUUGGACGGAGUCAGUGACGAAUAAUGUAUAUAUCUAGGCAGUCCUUGUCCAAAUUAGUCAUACAACCACAUUACUUCCUCAGUAGUAAAAUCCCUGUUUAAUAUUCCUCUCAUCUUUAUUUCAUACGGUUCAUUUAUGAUCUUACCGUAACAAACUUAAUAAUAUCCUGCAUGCUUUCUGAGUGGCGUAUAUAUAUAUAUAUAUAUAUAUAUAUAUAUAUAUAUACAGUGAUACAGUAUAAAUAACUGUGCUAAAAAAAAACAUCACAGUACUGCAGCAAUGUUCUUGGUCCCAUAGCAAUGGUUGUAUGUACAGUGGCUUUCAGAAAGUCUUCACACCCUUCUCUUCCACAUUGUGUUCUUACAGCUUGAAUUUAAAAUGGUUUACAGCCUGAAUUUAAAAAUGGUUUACAGCCUGAAUUUAAAAAUGGUUUACAGCCUGAAUUUAAAAAUGGUUUACAGCCUGAAUUUAAAAAUGGUUUACAGCCUGAAUUUAAAAAUGGUUUACAGCCUGAAUUUAAAAUGAACAUUUAUUAAAUUGAGAUCUACACACAAUAUCCCAUAAUGUCAAAGUGGAAUUUUGUAAGUAGAUUUUUUUUGUAAAUUAAUAAAACAUUUUAAACUGAAAUAUCUUGAAUAAGUAAACAAGUAUAUAACCCCUUUAUGGCAAGCAUAAAUAAGUUUAAGAGUAAAUAUCUCCUUAACAAAUGGCAUAAUAAGUUGCAUGGACUCAUCCCGUGUUCAAUAACAGUGUUUAACAUUAUGUUUGAAUGACUACCUCGUCUCUGUACCCCACACAUACAAUUAUCUGGAAGGUCCCUCAGUCCAGCAGGGAAUUUCAAACACAGAUUCAACCACAAAGACCAGGGAGGUUUUCCAAUGCCUCGCAAAGAAGGGCACCGAUUGGUAGAUGGGUAAAAUGUUUAAUAUCCCUUUGAGCAAGGUGAAGUUAUAAUUAGGCUUUGGAUGGUGUAUCAAUACACCCAGUCACUACAAAGAUACAGGCGUCCUUCCUAACUCAGUUGCCGGAGAGGAAGGAAACCGCUCAGGGUUUUCACCAUGAGGCCAUUGGUGAAUUUAAAACAGUUAUAAGUAAUACUGAAAACAUUAUGGCAAAGAAAUUCACUUUUUGUCCUGAAUACAAAGUGUUUUGUUUGGGGCAAAUCCAACACAACACAUCACUCAGUACCACUUCAUAUUUUCAAGCAUGGCGGUGGCUGCAUCAUGUUAUGGGUAUGCUUGUCAUUGGUAAGGACUAGGGAGUUUUUAGGAUAAAAAUAAACGGUAUAGAGGAAAACCUGGUUCAGUCUGUGUUUCAAUAGACACUGGGGAAAUGAAUUCACCUUUCAGCAGGACAAUAACCUAAAACACAAGGCUAAAUCUACACUGGAGUUGCUUACCAAGAUGACAUUGAAUGUCCCCGAGUGGCCUAUUUACAGUUUUGACUUAAAUCAGCUUGAAAAUCCAUGGCAAGACCUCAACAUUAUUGUCUAACAAUGAUCAACAAUCA
This 2532-nucleotide long non-coding RNA is filed under the name Salmo salar (Atlantic salmon). RNAcentral describes it as "lncRNA (ENSSSAG00000089092.1)". The record is from RNAcentral. Lineage: Eukaryota; Metazoa; Chordata; Actinopteri; Salmoniformes; Salmonidae.